Molecule: long non-coding RNA, 213 nt
Filed under: Mytilus galloprovincialis (Mediterranean mussel)
Lineage: Eukaryota; Metazoa; Mollusca; Bivalvia; Mytilida; Mytilidae
Source: RNAcentral
AAUAUACAUGGUAAAAUGUAUGUUCUAAUACCUUGUUUUGUGUACACUGAACCACACAAGUUCUACAUUGACUAUCGACUGCAUGUAGACAAAACAUGUCGAUUUAAACUUCAUGUAAACAUUGAGUUUUAUCAAUGGGAACGUAAUUGUGUUUAGUUUACGUGUGAUUUACACUUACACAACACCGAGUUUAGAUCAAUGAGAACACGGCCU